Molecule: small nuclear RNA, 104 nt
Organism: Suncus etruscus (white-toothed pygmy shrew)
Lineage: Eukaryota; Metazoa; Chordata; Mammalia; Eulipotyphla; Soricidae
Source: RefSeq, a predicted model, not a curated record
GUGCUCAUUUCGGCAGCACAUAUACUAAAAUUGGAACGAUACAGAGAUUAGCAUGGCCCCUGUGCAAGGAAGAUACACAAAUUCGUAAAGCAUUCCAUAUUUAA